RNAcentral lists this ribosomal RNA (269 nucleotides) under Spinomantis peraccae. RNAcentral describes it as "partial 16S ribosomal RNA". Lineage: Eukaryota; Metazoa; Chordata; Amphibia; Anura; Mantellidae. The record is from RNAcentral.
ACUAUAAGACGAGAAGACCCCAUGGAGCUUUAAACCCGACUACACCUCCACCUCUUAUACCCACAUAAUCAACGGAGUACUGUACAUCGGUUUUGGGUUGGGGUGACCACGGAGCACAAACUAACCUCCAUGAUGAAUAAGACUAACCCUUUAUCUAAGAGACACACCUCUAAGAAUUAGCACACUAACAUAAAAUGAUCCGAUAUUCGAUCAACGAACCAAGUUACCCUGGGGAUAACAGCGCAAUCCACUUCAAGAGCCCCUAUCCA